This 396-nucleotide ribosomal RNA is filed under the name uncultured bacterium. Its description in RNAcentral is "partial 16S ribosomal RNA". It matches the Rfam family "Bacterial small subunit ribosomal RNA", at positions 523 to 918 of the family's 1533-position model. The record is from RNAcentral.
AUACGUAGGGAGUGAGCGUUGUCCGGAAUUACUGGGUGUAAAGGGAGCGUAGGCGGGAGUGCAAGUCAGAUGUGAAAUACAUGGGCUCAACCCAUGGGCUGCAUUUGAAACUGCAUUUCUUGAGUGAAGUAGAGGUAAGCGGAAUUCCUGGUGUAGCGGUGAAAUGCGUAGAUAUCAGGAGGAACACCGGUGGCGAAGGCGGCUUACUGGGCUAUUACUGACGCUGAGGUUCGAAAGCGUGGGGAGAAAACAGGAUUAGAUACCCUGGUAGUCCACGCUGUAAACGAUGAUUACUAGGUGUGGGGGGACUGACCCCUUCCGUGCCGCAGGUAACACAAUAAGUAAUCCACCUGGGGAGUACGGCCGCAAGGUUGAAACUCAAAGGAAUUGACGGGG